AUAUAAGAAGAUAAAAACCUUUUGUGAAAGUCAAUACACUGUGAUACAAAGUGUCAAAGACUUCUUAAUCAUAUACAUUUUGUGAGGUACUUGCAGUAGAUGGUGUCGUUGAAUACAAAAAUCUAAAUUAAAUCCGACUUCGAUGACCCAUGGUUAUGAUUUCAAUUGGUACUUUUCUGUGAUGAAAUGAAAGGAUCAUGGAUAUUGGAUUAAAUACAAUAUAAAAAAGGAUAGUAACAUCAUUACAAGACAUACUAACUAACUGGAUUUGCAUAUUAAAUAAGAGAUGUCAAGUGAAAACGACAUUUGUUAAUAACUGGCAUCGAUAUAUCAUUUAUUAUACGUUAGUACUAACUUACUGGAUUUGCAUAUUAAAUA
This 378-nucleotide long non-coding RNA is filed under the name Mytilus galloprovincialis (Mediterranean mussel). The record is from RNAcentral. Lineage: Eukaryota; Metazoa; Mollusca; Bivalvia; Mytilida; Mytilidae.